Molecule: long non-coding RNA, 1133 nt
Organism: Saccostrea cuccullata (small rock oyster)
Lineage: Eukaryota; Metazoa; Mollusca; Bivalvia; Ostreida; Ostreidae
Exons: 3
Source: RefSeq, a predicted model, not a curated record
AAUACUAAAUAAAUAAAUAAUAACGAUAAUCACUUACGUUCGAAGCCUAGAUGGAACUCGUCCAGAGGUUGAGUACUCUAUGUCGACAAGGUUGUUCAUUUAUAUGAGAAUCAUUUGUUAAACGAUAUUAACAUAAUUAUAAACAGUUAAAUGUAUUUUCAAAGAAUUUUCUUCCUGCUUCAUAAUGUGGCAAGGAUCUUGUAAUACAUUCAAUCUUCAUAAGUAUCAAGUUUAAAUCUUUCAACAAACAGAUGAUUUACCAUCAACAAGUCGUCCAGACCAUGAAAAUGAGGAUUUGAAUCGUGUAUUAACCUGCCGCACUUGUCAACAAACCUUUGACUGUAGAAGAACUCAUUAUCUUCAUCAAAUGAAUGAACACUUCCAAAUGGGGCAUAUAACUCCCAUAAAAAGGAGGAGUCUUAUUUCUUUUAUAAAAAGUCGCUAUUAAACCAAUAAAAUGAAAGCUUAAAUUCUGGAAAAAUGUCAAAAGCUGAAAUCUCGAAGUGGUCUAAAAACUGGUAUUUUUCUUAUGACCUUUUUCCAAUGGAUGAAGAUCAUUUACGGUAUAAUGAUAUGGAUUUGAGACAUGCGUAUGAAGGCAGAAAGUACUUAAAUUAUAUCGUAUGGUCGUGUUCAAAAAAAGAUUUGCAAACAUGCCACGUUGAAGGAUAUAUUCGUUUCAAAUAUCCGAAACAAAAACGAACGGCGCGUGGAUCAUUUAUUUUUCGAUGGCCUGACCCAUACGAAUUGAGAAGUUGUUUUCAUUUCCCUGGAACUGAAUAUGUGAACAAAAUUCGACAAACGGGAAAUUAUAAAGAACUCGGAUGUUUUAAUGAACAUAAUGUAAGAAUUCCAAGAUGGGCAGAUUUAACUAGACUCAAAACUGUAAAACAAUGUCCCAUUUGUUUAGAAAUCAAUGUGAAAAGUAAUUUAAAAUGUCAACAAUGUCAUCAAGUUUCGUGCUGUAGACAGUGUUAUAGAGAACUUGCCACCAUACCAAAUCAGCGGUGUCCUAUUUGUCGUCAUCAAUAAUAAAUAUUUGUCGUGGCGUGUUUGUUCUCCCAUCUUUUUUGCAAAGUCUUGUCUUAUUUGUAUUUUUUCCUUAUGGAUAUUAAUAUCUUAAUAAAGGAUAU